RNAcentral lists this long non-coding RNA (2272 nucleotides) under Sorghum bicolor (sorghum). RNAcentral's name for it is "long non-coding RNA (SBIC_LNC017753)". The record is from RNAcentral. Lineage: Eukaryota; Viridiplantae; Streptophyta; Magnoliopsida; Poales; Poaceae.
AUUAUGAAUUGAAGAACCUAGAGAACGAUGAAGAACAAACCAGUUGCUGCAAAAGUAUAAUGUUGAGGAAGAUCCGAUAGAUCCGGCUCCUCCUCCGCUCUCCUCUUCUCUCUCCCUAUUGUCUAGAUUACAACUAGAACGAACUAGAACUAGAACUAGAGGAACUAGAACUAGAUGAACUAGAACUAGAUGAACUAGAACUAGAUGAACUAGAGGGAUCCUCUCUACUUGGAUGAAGAAUUGAAACCCUAACUUUGAUUCUGUAGAAGAGGUAUGAUCUCCAGGGGCCAGGGGUCCUUGCUUAUAUAGUCUUUUCAGAUGAAUCUGGGCCAUCGGAUCAAACAAACAUUAAUCGCACGGUUUUUCUUGAUCCCUUAGGUCGGUGGAGCACGAUCCGCGAAACGGGUCCGAAUUGGACACUGUAGCUGGGCGGGCGCCCUAAGGACUAGGGCGGGCGCCCUGUCCCUGAGCCCUCUCGGCUUCCCGUUCGUUUCCGUGGCUUCUGGAGUCUUCUAGAUGAUAGAAAAUUGCACAGUACGUUAAUAUCUCUAUGUAAACCCGACGUGUGGGCCUUUCCUCCAUAUUUCCUGAUAACCCCCUGCAGAAAUAGUCAAACACCAAAACUCGUGGAACUCUGUCAGAUAACACCCUAAGUCUGGGUGUUGGUUGCAUAUAAGUCCUUUUCCAUGAUUAGUUGAUGGUUAAAUGUGAGCAUUAAGGACCGUCAACAAGCUCCCCCAAGCUUAACCUUUGCUCGUCCCUGAGCAAAGAUGAACUCAAGAGUUUCUGCAGUGGUUUCAUGCCUUAAAGGUACACAUGCGUUCAAACAAGAUCUCAUCUCUGAGUUAGGGUAAACUGUUAAGAUUUAAACUUACUCAUUUUACCUUCCACCAUGGGGCUUGCAACCGUCACUUCUGUCUUGAGCAGUUAAAAGAUAGAACGGUCUAGUCAAGUGUCAUGUCUCUUAUUCUUGAUCAGCUAUAGCUCUGGAGUUUUUGCAGAUUUUCAAAUAAAACUCAGAGAUUCCAUGUAUGACUCUCUCUAGUCUCUCUUUUGUGGUAUUUCUGGAUCCUUACCAAGGCAGUAAUGGUGUAUGCCUUCUCUCAAAGUAUGUGGUAUUUUUGGUAUGAGGCAUAGUGGCAUUGCCUUCUCUCUCACCCUACUCUAAUAAGGUUUUGAUAUCUAGAGCUCAUAGGUGGGAGAUAAAGUAUACAUACUUACAAGACAUUUAUUGCAUAGUCAAACCAUGGAUCUAGAAGAACAAGUCAAUAAGUCAAAUCAAGAUGUGCAUGUGUGGCGAAUGAAUGGUGUAUGGUGAUGAUGGUGAUAACAAUGGUGAAAGUCUAAUUCUACUUGUGCUCUUUUGAGGUACUACAUACCUUUCUUGCUCUUAUGAAACUUUUUGAGGAGAAUGAGAUGCUUUAUAUUUUCUUUUUCUUUUCUCUCAGGUGGGUAUCUUGUACCCCUAAUUCUACUAUCGGACACUUGUCCAUUUUUACCUCUCAUCUCACUUUUUCUUUUCUUUCGAGGUUCUGGGCACUUGCCCCUUUUUAUUUCCUCGUAUCUUCUUUUUUCUCUCUUUUUUUAGAGCACUCAUUUCCUGAAAUAAUAUAGCAAGUGGUAGUAACCAAGAUAACUUGAGCAUUUCACAGGGGAAAAACAUAAAUGUUUUUGGCUAUUCUCUCCCGGUUUAGGAGUAGAAUAUUUUUGGGUGGUUCUGGAGAUGGAAAUGUGUGGAUAUAUGUGGAUGCGUACUUCCGGAGCAGAAGCAGCAUGUGUGAGUGAACGUGCAAGUGAAUCUUGAUUUAACCACAUGACAAGCUCCUAAGGGCCUACACAGCUUGACCACACUCAAUGCUCAUAAGCAAUAAAGUAAAUGUAUGGUUCAUAGUCUAAUAAGCAUGUAUAUAUGGCCAUGGUAGGAUUUUAAACUCUCAUCAUACAGGAACUCAUCAUGCAACAUUUUAAAGAUUUUCAAAGAUAAAAUUCUCCAGAAUUCUAGCAUCUCUAGGAACAGAUAAACAGCAGCUCAACCUUCCCAUAUCGUAUCCGUUAACGACUUAGACUUUAGAUCAAGUACUCUUCCCACAAGUUCAGGUUUAGAGCAAAUCUUAAUUAAUAAUAGUCAUGCCUAAACUUGAGAGAGAUUUCAAUUUUGAGAACUAGUCAUGGCAGAGCAACUAUUCAUCAUUUCCAUGUGAGAGCUUACUAUGAGGGUUCAUAGCAAACUCUAUUUAUUUAUUUAUUUAGCAAACUAAGCAAAGAUAUAUAU